GACGAACGCUGGCGGCGUGCUUAACACAUGCAAGUCGAACGGACAGGCCCUGCUCUUGUUGCUUUCUCGAUUGCCGCACGCGUGAGUAACACGUGAGUAACCUGCACUUGUCUUUCUGAUAUCUUCACGAGACUCCGGCUCUUACCCGAUAUGAGCUCCUGCUCCAUGUUGUUCGUUGGUAAAUUUCGGCGGUUGUGGAUGGUCUCGCUGCUUAUCAGCUUCUUUGUGUGGUAGUUGCUUACCAGGGCUUUGACGGAUAGCCGGCCUGAGAGGGUUACCGGCGACAAUGGGACUGCGAGACGGACCAGAAGGCUACGGGAGGCAGCAGGGGGGAGUAUUGCAGAAUGGGGGGAAGCCUGAUGUAGCAACGCCGCGAGCGGGAUGACGGGCUUCGGGUUGUAAACAGAUUUGGCAUGUGACGAAGCGUGAGUGACGGUAAUGGGUAAAGAAGCACCGGCUAACUACGUG
Molecule: ribosomal RNA, 468 nt
Filed under: uncultured bacterium
Lineage: Bacteria
Description: partial 16S ribosomal RNA
Rfam family: Bacterial small subunit ribosomal RNA
Source: RNAcentral